GGGGCCGUAGUCUAGCCUGGCUAGGAUGCGGGGCUUGGGCCCCCGUGACCCGGGGUUCAAAUCCCCGCGGCCCCACUA
RNAcentral lists this transfer RNA (78 nucleotides) under Desulfurococcus amylolyticus DSM 16532. RNAcentral's name for it is "tRNA-Pro". It matches the Rfam family "tRNA". From Rfam's summary of the family: Transfer RNA (tRNA) molecules are approximately 80 nucleotides in length. Lineage: Archaea; Thermoproteati; Thermoproteota; Thermoprotei; Desulfurococcales; Desulfurococcaceae. The record is from RNAcentral.